This is an RNA transcript of Ailuropoda melanoleuca (giant panda), 564 nucleotides long. RefSeq lists it as uncharacterized. Lineage: Eukaryota; Metazoa; Chordata; Mammalia; Carnivora; Ursidae. The transcript is spliced from 2 exons. The record is from RefSeq and is a predicted model, not a curated record.
GAGUCUCUUCUUAUUGAACUGUCGUGCACAAAAUACAUCUCUUUAGAAAAUCAAUGAAAAGCCGCAGGUCAUCGCAGACUACGAGAGUGGACGGGCCAUUCCUAAUAACCAGGUUCUGGGCAAAAUUGAGAGAGCUAUUGGCCUCAAGCUCCGGGGCAAGGAUAUCGGGAAGCCGAUUGAGAAGGGGCCAAGGGCGAAAUGAACACAAAGCCUCGAAAUCAGUGCGUUCCGGCUGAUCUCGUCUGGCUGGUUCUCCUUGACCACCAGCGCCAGCGUGGGUCUCUUCACGUGGCCGAGCGGAACGCAGGGCGUGAGCCCUGCCCAGGAAUCCCCUCUACCCAUACCUGCUGUCAAACAAACAAAACCUUGCAAAGUAUUGCUUCUCCUGAUUUUUUCUCCUUCCUAUCCCCGGUGUCUGCCCGGUCUUGGGGUGGCUCCCUGGGGAGCUGUGAGUGGGACCGCCUCACGCUGGCAGGGCUGUGGGGUGGGGCGGCCUGAUCGGAAGAGAAGAUGCCGUCUCCAGUCCGGCUUUUAGAGAAGCCAAUAAACGAUUGUUGCCCUUCC